Homo sapiens (human) is the source of this 569-nucleotide long non-coding RNA. RefSeq lists it as uncharacterized. The transcript is spliced from 3 exons. The record is from RefSeq and is a predicted model, not a curated record. NCBI's taxonomy places the organism in Eukaryota, Metazoa, Chordata, Mammalia, Primates, Hominidae.
ACUCCUCUCCCCUGCAGCCAGUUCUCCACGUGGCCACCAGAGGAUGCUUCUGGAAGGCACCAGGCAUUCAGGUGUGAACAAAGCUAUCCAUGCAGUCCGGGAGGGGAGCCAGAGAGAAGCAAGCAUGUGCGACCAGCAUUAAAGGGGCAGCUGCAGUCAGUCCUCUCUGGAGCCCUGUCCUUGUUCUUCCCAACACAGCCUUGUGCGUAUGCUGAUGCUGCAUGAAAUCCCUGCUUCUUCAUCGUUCGUCACAAGAGCCCAUGAUGCCUUGUCAGAUGACACCUCUGAUCCCAGGAGGAUCCAUGCCGUGGAGACAAACAACUCAUUAUUUGCCUUGAUGACCUGUCAUCUCAUAGACACCUCCCUGGAUGGAUGGAGCACUGGAAUUUGGGCUACCAGAGAGUUCCGCCUCGGUUAGCAGAAGUAAUUUGCCCGUGUCCUUAUGCAACAUGCUGACCUGGUCGGUCAUUUAAAUGAAAGGGCACGGCAGCCAUGCAAAACUCUAUCUCCCUAAUGCUUUUCUUCCCAUUGCUUUCUUCUUCUUGAAAUAUAAAAACGACCCUGUUGUA